This 62-nucleotide ribosomal RNA is filed under the name Capsicum annuum. Its description in RNAcentral is "partial large subunit ribosomal RNA". The record is from RNAcentral. Lineage: Eukaryota; Viridiplantae; Streptophyta; Magnoliopsida; Solanales; Solanaceae.
GGACCAAGCCUGUCUAUCACUCGCCAACAAAUAAGUACUGUCAUGACGACAAUGCGCUCGUG